Molecule: ribosomal RNA, 547 nt
Filed under: uncultured Gram-positive bacterium
Lineage: Bacteria
Description: bacterial SSU rRNA
Rfam family: Bacterial small subunit ribosomal RNA
Source: RNAcentral
UGAGUUUGAUUCUGGCUCAGGAUGAACGCUGGCGGCAUGCCUAACACAUGCAAGUCGAACGAGAAACUUUGAGAAGACGAUUUAUCUGAUUCUUAAAGUGGAAAGUGGCGGACGGGUGAGUAACGCGUGAGUAACCUACCUUUUGCAGAGGGAUAGCCCCGGGAAACUGGGAGUAAUACCUCAUAAGACUACGCUACCGCAUGGUAAAGUAGUAAAAACUCCGGUGGCAAAAGAUGGACUCGCGUCUGAUUAGCUAGUAGGUAAGGUAACGGCUUACCUAGGCGACGAUCAGUAGCCGGCCUGAGAGGGCGGACGGCCACACUGGAACUGAGAGACGGUCCAGACUCCUACGGGAGGCAGCAGUGGGGAAUAUUGCACAAUGGGGGAAACCCUGAUGCAGCAAUGCCGCGUGAAGGAUGAAGGUUUUCGGAUUGUAAACUUCUUUCGCUGGGGAAGAAACAAAUGACGGUACCCAGAUAAGAAGCCCCGGCUAACUAUGUGCCAGCAGCCGCGGUAAUACAUAGGGGGCAAGCGUUAUCCGGAUUUA